AUACCGGCCAGAGACCGAUAGCGCACAAGUAGAGUGAUCGAAAGAUGAAAAGCACUUUGAAAAGAGGGUUAAAUAGUACGUGAAAUUGUUGAAAGGGAAGGAUUUAUGACCAGACCUUUGCCUUGCGGAUCAUCCGGUGUUCUCACCGGUGCACUUCGCUUGGUUGAGGCCAGCAUCAGUUUUGGCGGCGGGAUAAAUACUUCAGGAACGUGACUCCCCCGGGAGUGUUAUAGCCUGCUGUGUAAUACCGCCGCUGGGACUGAGGACCGCGCUUCGGCUAGGAUGCUGGCAUAAUGGUCAUCAAUCACCCGUCUUGAAACACGGACC
RNAcentral lists this ribosomal RNA (327 nucleotides) under uncultured fungus. RNAcentral's name for it is "LSU rRNA". It matches the Rfam family "Eukaryotic large subunit ribosomal RNA", at positions 320 to 667 of the family's 3401-position model. The record is from RNAcentral. Lineage: Eukaryota; Fungi.